GACGAACGCUGGCGGCGUGCCUAACACAUGCAAGUCGAGCGGAGAUGUACUGAAGAUUUAUCGGAUGUACAUCUUAGCGGCGGACGGGUGAGUAACGCGUGGGCAACCUGCCUUUCACUGGGGGAUAACACAGGGAAACCUGUGCUAAUACCGCAUGACAUCACGUAGGGCAUCCUAUGUGAUCAAAGGAGAGAUCCGGUGGAAGAUGGGCCCGCGUCCAAUUAGCUGGUUGGUGAGGUAAAGGCUCACCAAGGCGACGAUUGGUAGCCGAACUGAGAGGUUGAUCGGCCACAUUGGGACUGAGACACGGCCCAGACUCCUACGGGAGGCAGCAGUGGGGAAUAUUGCGCAAUGGGGGGAACCCUGACGCAGCAACGCCGCGUGAAGGAAGAAGGUCUUCGGAUUGUAAACUUCUUUGAUGAGGGACGAAUAAAGUGACGGUACCUCAAAACAAGACCACGGCUAACUACGUGCCAGCAGCCGCGGUAAUCACGAG
Molecule: ribosomal RNA, 496 nt
Filed under: uncultured bacterium
Lineage: Bacteria
Description: bacterial SSU rRNA
Rfam family: Bacterial small subunit ribosomal RNA
Source: RNAcentral